Molecule: ribosomal RNA, 498 nt
Filed under: uncultured bacterium
Lineage: Bacteria
Description: partial 16S ribosomal RNA
Rfam family: Bacterial small subunit ribosomal RNA
Source: RNAcentral
GAUGAACGCUGGCGGCGUGCCUAAUACAUGCAAGUCGAGCGAACGGACGAGAAGCUUGCUUCUCUGAUGUUAGCGGCGGACGGGUGAGUAACACGUGGAUAACCUACCUAUAAGACUGGGAUAACUUCGGGAAACCGUAGCUAAUACCGGAAUAAUAUUUUGAACCGCAUGGUUCAAAAGUGAAAGACGGUCUUGCUGUCACUUAUAGAUGGAUCCGCGCUGCAUUAGCUAGUUGGUAAGGUAACGGCUUACCAAGGCAACGAUGCAUAGCCGACCUGAGAGGGUGAUCGGCCACACUGGAACUGAGACACGGUCCAGACUCCUACGGGAGGCAGCAGUAGGGAAUCUUCCGCAAUGGGCGAAAGCCUGACGGAGCAACGCCGCGUGAGUGAUGAAGGUCUUCGGAUCGUAAAACUCUGUUAUUAGGGAAGAACAUAUGUGUAAGUAACUGUGCACAUCUUGACGGUACCUAAUCAGAAAGCCACGGCUAACUACGUG